This 391-nucleotide unclassified non-coding RNA is filed under the name soil metagenome. Its description in RNAcentral is "partial contains 5.8S ribosomal RNA, internal transcribed spacer 2, and large subunit ribosomal RNA". The stretch from base 1 to 122 matches the Rfam family "5.8S ribosomal RNA", at positions 35 to 154 of the family's 154-position model. The record is from RNAcentral.
GAUGAAGAACGUAGCGAAAUGCGAUACUUGGUGUGAAUUGCAGAAUCCCGUGAACCAUCGAGUCUUUGAACGCAAGUUGCGCCCGAAGCCAUUAGGCCGAGGGCACGCCUGCCUGGGCGUCACACGUCGUUGCCCCCCCAUCUACUCCUUCGGGAUUGCGGGGGGCGGAUGAGGGCCUCCCGUGCGCCUCGUCGCGCGGUUGGCAUAAAUACCAAGUCCUCGGCGACGCACGCCACGACAAUCGGUGGUUGCGAAACCUCGGUUGCCCGUCGUGUGCGGUCGUCGCGCAUCGAGGGCUCGAAAAAAUUGCCGGGCUCCGGCUCGGCUUUCAACGCGACCCCAGGUCAGGCGGGGUUACCCGCUGAAUUUAAGCAUAUCAAUAAGCGGAGGA